UGCCCAUGUUUCUGCUUUCUUCAGUGUGUUAUAUCUAUUUAUUUAUAUGUUUUGUUUUAUCCUUUUCAUAUUGAUUGUCUGCUUCCAUUUUAGGUUUCAUCAUAGUUCAACACAUUUCUUAAAUCAACAUUAUUGAUAUUUGUAGAGAAGAUCAAUCCUAAUAAUACUGAAUACUGUGCUACAUCCCUGAAAUUAAACUGUUUCCAUUCAAGACCAUCUUCUGCAAGUGAAGCCUUUUCUUCAUACACUGAGAUGAACCAAGGAGUGAAUCAAACAAACAGGCAACUGCUCAUUUGAUGACUGAGCGCUUUACUGAGCAGAUUAACAAAAGCCAUGAUAGGAGCAGAAUCAGCUAAGAAGUGAAUCUUGUCAGUCACCUG
Long non-coding RNA from Anser brachyrhynchus (Pink-footed goose), 380 nucleotides. NCBI's taxonomy places the organism in Eukaryota, Metazoa, Chordata, Aves, Anseriformes, Anatidae. The record is from Ensembl.